This 460-nucleotide ribosomal RNA is filed under the name uncultured bacterium. RNAcentral's name for it is "partial 16S ribosomal RNA". It matches the Rfam family "Bacterial small subunit ribosomal RNA", at positions 338 to 795 of the family's 1533-position model. The record is from RNAcentral.
CCUACGGGAGGCAGCAGUGAGGAAUAUUGGUCAAUGGGCGAAAGCCUGAACCAGCCAAGUCGCGUGAGGGAUGAAGGUUCUAUGGAUCGUAAACCUCUUUUAUAAGGGAAUAAAGUGCGGGACGUGUCCCGUUUUGUAUGUACCUUAUGAAUAAGGAUCGGCUAACUCCGUUCCAGCAGCCGCGGUAAUACGGAGGAUCCGAGCGUUAUCCGGAUUUAUUGGGUUUAAAGGGUGCGUAGGCGGCCUUGUAAGUCAGCGGUGAAAAUCUGUGGCUCAACCAGUGAAUUGCCGUUGAAACUGGGAGGAUUGAGUAUGUUUGAGGCAGGCGGAAUGCGUGGUGUAGCGGUGAAAUGCUUAGAUAUCACGCAGAACCCCGAUUGCGAAGGCAGCCUGCCAAGCCAUGACUGACGCUGAUGCACGAAAGCGUGGGGAUCAAACAGGAUUAGAUACCCUAGUAGUC